Suncus etruscus (white-toothed pygmy shrew) is the source of this 132-nucleotide small nucleolar RNA. RefSeq annotates it as small nucleolar RNA SNORA28. The transcript has a single exon. The record is from RefSeq and is a predicted model, not a curated record. Lineage: Eukaryota; Metazoa; Chordata; Mammalia; Eulipotyphla; Soricidae.
AAGCAACACUCUGUGGCAGAUGGACCGAAAUAAUUGUCUGACACAAUUUUCGCUUGCUAUAGCAAAAAAAAGUCUAACCUAUUCCGGUGUUCUCUUUUUCAUGAGACACACCGUUAUAUAGACUUAGACAGC